CGCCCUCCGGCCUCCGCACCGCCUCUGCUUCCGGCUAUAAAAGACGCCCAGGCGCGCCCUCUCCUCCCCGCGCCCCGCCCCGCCCUCUCUUCCGAGCUGUCCUUCGGGCCGCGCCGCCGGCGUCGAUCGCCCCCACGCGUCUCCGCGGCUUUUUCCUCCCCCUUGUCCAUCACAAAUCUCGAUUCAUUUCGAACCGCGCUUGAUUUCCUCUCCUCGCCGGCUCUUCUUCCUGUGCUCGCAGGCAGGGGGUAAAUCCGGCCCGCCUCCGCGCGGAGCGAUCGAUCGGGGGAACUCCGUCGAUUCCGCGUCCCGCCUCUGAUUCAAUUCCGCGUCACCCGAGGGCCGAAUCAAGGUCGGUUUCUCGCAGCUCGGUCAGAUCGGUUCCUUCCAUGGCCCCGUCGCCCGCCCGCCCGCCUGCGUCCGCCGGUGAUUCCAGAUUCGAUGAAAAUCGAACCGGCUCUCGCCCGUGCGCGCGGCCCGUUCCCGAUCCGGCGCCCUCGUCACGAGCCCAGCCGUCAUCGGGUUAUAAAAUACGAGGUGGGUUCGAGGCCCCCGUGGAUUCCGUUUUCACCCGCCGAUCUAGGUAUGCGCUUGUGCUCUCAUCCUGUUCCUAGAUGCAGCAGGGUCAAAAGGACGGUCGGUGGUUCUCAACUUCUCAUGAAGAGAUCUAGCCUUUUGGUAUGCGCUUGUGCUCCCACCAUCCUAUUCCUAGAUGCAGCAGGGUCAAAAGGACGGUCGGUGGUUCUGCUGAAGAGAUGGGUGCGAGUUUGAUUCCCGUUCAUGGUUACUUUGAUGAUUGGUUACUUACGGUUCAGCGGCCAGAUCUUGUAGGAUGUUCAAGCUUUGGAUCUCUCACCAACCUGCAACUUCAGCCUGCACCUGGAUAAUAAUAAUUCGGUCCCUUCCAAUUUAGUCUUUUGGUUUGCACUGCACAGUUAUAAUCUAGUACAAAGCAUCUUAUUUAGAUCCGUUCGUUGAUGAUUCUCCAGAGACUGGGAUAACACGGCUUAGCGGGAGCACCUGCCUACCUUCGGCUGAUUUGUGUUUGGAUGAAUAUUACUACUCCUAUCUCUGUUUAAUUCCUUGCUCUCCACCGUUCAUUUUCAGCCUACAACAGUUCUGAUUUGGAUUUAUUGCUCAUUGUCCAGAAAUUCGGAUUACUCGGCUUAGUGGGAGCAACUUAUUACUAUCUUCUUGCUGACCUGUGUUUGGAUGAUCAACUGUCUCUGUUUAAUUUGUUCUUCUCCACACUUCAAUUAUUCUCUCAACAUUUCUGAUUUGGAACGGUUGCUGGUUGUCCAGAAACUGGAAUUGCACGGGCCUAGCGGGUGCUCCUAUUUUGCCUCAGCAUGGCGGUUCUUCCUGCCUGGCUUGAAAUUUCUGGACCUUCCUUUCUCAGUAUUAACUAGAACUCAUCAGACAUUAGUUUUCCAUGUCUUAAGUCAUUCUCAGCUCUUGCAGAUAGUGUCUUGCAAAGGACAUAUAAUUGGAACCUGUGUUGUCUACCUGACCAUCCCAGUCGAGACAGGCUUAGUCAUCCUUUACCUCAGUUUCAUCCUAGUUUUCCCCUAACUGAAACAUUUAUAGAAAGGUAUCUUGCUUGUUGCAGGUCGUAGUUUAUGAACUCAAGGCCACCAACCUGAUGCUGAGUUUGCAGUUCUUCUAAAACCACUAUCUACUUAAUUCCUUGACUGAGAUAAUGUUAAUAUGAUCUCUUACUAGGCAAUAUUUUAAAUUCAGAUUUUGCUGCAAAAGGUGCAAGAAUGAAGCUUCAAACUACUGACGUAUCCUACAACCGGAAAAAACUUAAAUCUCUUAUCCUCUGUUUUUACUUCAUCUACAUGUUCAUGCUUUUGAUUUAGGUUUUUUGCUUCUGCCCUCCAUGUCGUUGCAGAUUUGGCCUAAGACAAUGAUUGUAGUGGGUCGGAAUCUGUUAAAAUCGUCUGGUUUGCUAUCUAUCUCCUUGUGGUUUGAUUGGUUAUCUGUACUCUUGAUCCCUCGGUUUUCAUGUCAAAGUGUCAGGUCAGUGUCUUGGAUGUUGGUUCAUUUAUGUUGGCCUCCACGGGUUGGUUGCAGGACUGGAGAUCUGGUAUGUGGAGAUGUUUGGGGUGUUAUAUGUCGGAUGGGAUUUGAGGCAGGUCAGAUCAGAUUUGAAUGGCUAUUUCCCAUGUGGUCGUCAUCAACUAAUAUGAGGUGGAUUCGAGGUCCUGGUGAAUUCUUACUGUAGCAGCUGAUCUUGCUUUUGGUGUCUGUUUGUGCUCCUUUAGAUGCAACAGAAGGAGGGUAGUGGUUCUGUAGAGACGAGUCAAGAGGGUGGAGGAUGUUUUGGGUCGUUCAUCAACCUGGAACUUUAUUGGUGGCUCUCCAGAAAUUGGAAUAAUAUGGCUUAGAAGGCACUCCUAUUUUUUCCUCGGCAUGGCGGUUCCUUCUGGGGCUUGAAAUUUUUCAACCUUUCUUUAUUCUAUAAUUGAACUCUCAUGACAAUAGGUUUUCUCUACCUUUGUCAGUAACUCUCAGCUCUUGUAGAUAUUGACAUGGAAAUGAUAUAACUGCAGUUUGGAACCAGUGUUGUUGCCAUCCGUCAACCAUAGCUGAACUUGCUAGCUGAGUCAGGCUUUCUUGUUUCCGUCCAUUGUUUGAUCCAUGCUUUAGCUAUUUAAAAGUAACAUUUACCCCUAACCGAAAAUUUAUAGGAAGGUCUCUCGCUCGUUGCAGGUUGUAGUUGACGAACUCCAGCCCAACCUGAUGAUGAAUUUCUUUAUUCAUAUGCAAAGGCGCAUGAAUCUAAGGACAAUCCGAAGCUUUCAACUAAUUGCACAUCCUACAACAGAAAAAGACUCUUGCCCUCCUAUUUUUUCAUUUCAUUUAGCUACUUGGCCAUGUCUUUGAUAUAGGUUUUUGUUCCUGCCCUUCUUGUGGUUGCAGAUUUUUCUUUAGCCGGUAAUGACGUGGAAUCUGUUAAAUAUUUUGGUUUGUGAUCUAGCUCUCCGUGGUCCGUUUUGUUAUCUGUACUCUUGAUCCCUGUGUUCUUUUUGUCUUCCGCGAGUGCGGGGUGCAGGAUAUAACAGUUAAAAUUUUCUGCCCAAACCUAUGUCCAUGGAGUCAGGUCAGUGUCUUGUAGGCGGUCUGUUUGCUUCAUUUGUUAUCGCCGCCUCUGUGAGUUGGCUUGCAGGACUGGAUCUGGAUCUGGUCUGGAAAUGAAGUUAACAGUAUGUUGAAGGGGACUUGUGGCAGGUCAGUUUCCCAUGUUUGGUCCCAUUGGUCUUGUGGACGUCAGAGUUCUUUGAUUUAUCUUCGUCAGAUGGCUCAACAUGAGUACCUUAUCCUUAAGUAUUGAGGUGGAUUUUGUUGGUUCUCAUUGUUACAGCUGAUCUCUGUUUGUGGGGUAUGUGUUUGUUCUCCUUCAGAUGCAGGAGGGCGAUGGUUGUUGAGUGAUGAACCAGAGAGUGGAGGUUUGCUUUACUGUUCAUGGUCAUUGUUAUGGCUCAGUGCCUUGUAUGAUAUAAGAUAGCAUCUUGUGUGCUGAAGUUUGUGUUUUGGUUGAAGUUGGAUUGAAUCGUUAACCAUGGGAUGGGGACCAGAGAAUUUGGGAACUACGUUUUGAUAAUUGAUCCUCAAUUUAGCUUCUUUGUUUGCACAGUCAAAUUAAGCUUACAGCAUCUCUGAUAUUGACUGUUGGUUCUCCAGCUAAUGGACUUAUGGGGCUUUCUGGAAGGUGCCUUGUUUUGACUGUUGGUUUACAGGGGGUUUCUUCUGUUGACUUCAUCUUUCCUGAUUUGCUUUGAACAUUGUACUUCCAAGACAUGAUUUUCUCUGCCCUUGGUAAUCAUGUGCCCUUGCAGACAUUGACAUGGAUGAGAGAUAAUAUAGUUCGCUAUCUGGAAGACUGGGACUGGCGUUGUUGCCUAACUAGCCAAGCAAGCUUAUCCUAUCCCCUCACUGUUUGAUGCAUCAUUUAGCUGUUUAUAGGCAGCAUCAUUUCCCCAAAGCAAAAGUUGAAACAAAGGUUUCUUGGUCCACUGCAGGUCCUAACUGAUGAUUUAGGUCCAACAUGAUGAUGAAUAUGUUUGAAGAUCUUCUAAACCCUGCACCUUUCCAAUUCAUCAUAAUUUUUUCAACAUAUAAUUUAUCUUACAGAGACAAAAUUUAAACAUUCAGAUUGAUUUGGUGGAUGUACAAGGUUCGAAGGUUGCUUUGGAGCAUCAAUCUAGACAGGGCAUCCUACAACUGAAAAAACCCAGUGCUCUCUAUUUUGAUCUCUUGAAGAAGCCUCUGUUGUCUUAGCUGCUAGCAUUGAUUGUGGUUUUUGCUUCCGCCUUCUUGUGGUUGCAGAUUGUUUAGCCCAAGCCAAAUCUGUCGUAUUUUUGGCUUGUGAUCCUCUCCUGACUUAUAUUUGGGUAAUGUGGAUGGCUUGAUAUGCAAAAAGAGGUUAGGGAUUAACGCUAUAUACCAACACAAUGGAGAGUUGAAGCUUCUGAACUAGAAGCUUGAACAAACAAUUUGCCAUGGACACUCUACUUCUCAUCAUGUCUUUGAUUAGUGUCAUGUCCACUGAAUAUGAUUCCGAUUUGUUGGUAUGGAAUUGAUUUUCAGAAGUGAUGUUCUUCUGGUGGUUCUCCAGUGAGAUCUUGUUACUUCAGUGCAUCUUCUCGGUUUGCAACGGAACUUCCUAUUUUAAUUUGGCAACUUGUAAAAUAAGUCUUGCUAAAUUUGAUGACUACUGCUGAUUGUAUACUUUUCAACUCAAGUAGCUUGUACAUAUGUCAGUUUCAUUCAUGCUGGAUGUUCUCAUUCAGGUUCUGGAAUUUAUAGCUUUCCUUAUUUGUGCCCGUA
Molecule: long non-coding RNA, 4833 nt
Organism: Hordeum vulgare subsp. vulgare (domesticated barley)
Lineage: Eukaryota; Viridiplantae; Streptophyta; Magnoliopsida; Poales; Poaceae
Exons: 2
Source: RefSeq, a predicted model, not a curated record